RNAcentral lists this ribosomal RNA (781 nucleotides) under uncultured organism. RNAcentral's name for it is "bacterial SSU rRNA". It matches the Rfam family "Bacterial small subunit ribosomal RNA", at positions 531 to 1327 of the family's 1533-position model. The record is from RNAcentral.
GGUGCAAGCGUUAUCCGGAAUUACUGGGCGUAAAGCGUCCGCAGGCUGUUUGUUAAGUCAGAUGUUAAAUCUUGGAGCCCAACUUCAAGCCCACAUUUGAAACUAUCAAACUAGAGUACUUCAGAGGUGUGUAGAAUUCUGUGUGUAGGGGUUAAAUCCGUAGAUAUACAGAGGAAUACCAAAAGCGAAAGCAGCACACUGGGAAGUAACUGACGCUCAGGGACGAAAGCGUAGGUAGCGAACGGGAUUAGAUACCCCGGUAGUCUACGCCGUAAACGAUGGAUACUAGGUGUUGGAGGUCUCGACCCCUUCAGUGCCGAAGCUAACGCAUUAAGUAUCCCGCCUGGGAAGUACGAACGCAAGUUUAAAACUCAAAGGAAUAGACGGGGACCCACACAAGCGGUGGAGCACCUGGUUUAAUUCGACAAUAAGCGAGGAACCUUACCUGGACUUGACAUCCCGAGAAUUUCCUAGAAAUAGGAAAGUGCCUUCUGGAACUCGGUGACAGGUGCUGCAUGGUUGUCGUCAGCUCGUGCCUUGAGGUGUACGGUUAAGUCCGCUAACGAGCGCAACCCAUGUCUUAUGUUGUUUUUUCAUAAGAGACUGCCGAUUCAAAGUCGGAGGAAGGUAUGGACGACGUCAAAUCUGCAUGGCCCUUAUGUCCAGGGCUACACAGGUGCUACAAUGGCUAGUACAGAGGGUAGCAAUACUGCAAAGUGGAGCUAAUCCUUAAAGCUAGUCUAAGUUCGAAUUGGAGGCUGCAACUCGCCUCCAUGAAGUU